Molecule: long non-coding RNA, 340 nt
Organism: Octopus sinensis (East Asian common octopus)
Lineage: Eukaryota; Metazoa; Mollusca; Cephalopoda; Octopoda; Octopodidae
Exons: 3
Source: RefSeq, a predicted model, not a curated record
CACAGAUGUUUGUUGUGCAGAAAUAAAGAGGCCACAACAAAGUUCAUCCCUGUGAACACCUUCUGACAUGUGAAGAAUGUUCAAACGUUCCACUUAACGAUGCCUGAGGUGUUUGAAACCUGUAACAAGCAGAGGUCGAGUUGCGUCUCCAAAGUUUGCAGACAAGGGAGUGCAAACAGAUUUACAAUUAUUAGAGCCUACAUCCGAGCAAAGUGUGAAUCGAACAUUUGAAGUCAAGGAAACACAGACAUUGGCUGAACCUGUUGGUGAGUAUAAAAUAACAGCACUUGAUUGAUUUCUGUAAGGUUUAUCCCCUGCUGAACUAUUUUGAUAUCAGAAU